GACGAACGCUGGCGGCGUGCUUAACACAUGCAAGUCGAGCGGUAAGGCCCUUUCGGGGGUACACGAGCGGCGAACGGGUGAGUAACACGUGGGUGACCUGCCCUCAGUUCUGGGAGUAAGCCUGGGAAACCGGGUCUAAUACUGGAUAUGACCUCAUGACGCAUGUUGUGGGGUGGAAAGCCUUGUGCGACUGAGGAUGGGCCCGCGGCCUAUCAGCUUGUUGGUGGGGUGAUGGCCUACCAAGGCGACGACGGGUAGCCGGCCUGAGAGGGCGACCGGCCACACUGGGACUGAGACACGGCCCAGACUCCUACGGGAGGCAGCAGUGGGGAAUCUUGCGCAAUGGGCGAAAGCCUGACGCAGCGACGCCGCGUGAGGGAUGACGGCCU
Molecule: ribosomal RNA, 389 nt
Filed under: uncultured bacterium
Lineage: Bacteria
Description: bacterial SSU rRNA
Rfam family: Bacterial small subunit ribosomal RNA
Source: RNAcentral